AUCCGGUAUUGCAUGUACAGGAUAGGUGGGAGGCUAAGAAAUGGUGACGCCAGUCGCCAUGGAGCCGAUGUUGGGAUACCACCCUUGCGGUAUUGGGUUUCUAACCUGCGGCCGUGAACCGGCCGGGGGACAAUGCCAGGCGGGGAGUUUGACUGGGGCGGUCGCCUCCGAAAGGGUAUCGGAGGCGCUCAAAGGUUCCCUCAGAAUGGUCGG
This 213-nucleotide ribosomal RNA is filed under the name Cyclophora tenuis. RNAcentral describes it as "partial Bacterial large subunit ribosomal RNA". It matches the Rfam family "Bacterial large subunit ribosomal RNA", at positions 2122 to 2334 of the family's 2925-position model. Lineage: Eukaryota; Bacillariophyta; Fragilariophyceae; Cyclophorales; Cyclophoraceae. The record is from RNAcentral.